This 466-nucleotide ribosomal RNA is filed under the name uncultured bacterium. Its description in RNAcentral is "partial 16S ribosomal RNA". It matches the Rfam family "Bacterial small subunit ribosomal RNA", at positions 28 to 507 of the family's 1533-position model. The record is from RNAcentral.
GACGAACGCUGGCGGCGUGCUUAACACAUGCAAGUCGAACGAUGAAGCCUAGCUUGCUGGGUGGUUUAGUGGCGAACGGGUGAGUAACACGUGAGUAACCUGCCCCUUACUCUGGGAUAAGCGCUGGAAACGGCGUCUAAUACUGGAUAUUACCUUUCAUCGCAUGGUGUGUGGUGGAAAGAUUUUCCGGUUUGGGAUGGACUCGCGGCCUAUCAGCUUGAUGGUGAGGUAGUGGCUCACCAUGGCGACGACGGGUAGCCGGCCUGAGAGGGUGACCGGCCACACUGGGACUGAGAGACGGACCAGACUCCUACGGGAGGCAGCAGUGGGGAGUAUUGCACAAUGGGCGCAAGCCUGAUGCAGCAACGCCGCGUGAGGGAUGACGGCCUUCGGGUUGUAAACCUCUUUUAGUUGGGAAGAAGCGUAAGUGACGGUACCUACAGAAAAAGCACCGGCUAACUACGUG